UAGGAUUUGAUUAGGAUUUAUUUAGGAUUUAAUUAGGAUUUGGUUAGGAUUUGAUUAGAUUUUGGUUAAGAUUUGAUUAGAAUUUGGUUAGAAUUUUAUUAGGAUUUGAUUAGGAUUUGUUUAAGGUUUGAAUCGAGUUUAUUUAAGAUUUAGUGUUUGAUUAAGGUUUAGUUUAGGAUUUAGGAUUUGAUUAAGAUUUAAUUUAGAAUUAGAGGUUGAUUAGGAUUUGAUUUAGAAUUUAGGAUUUUCUUAGGUUUUGGUUUAGAAUUUAGGAUUUAGUUAAAAUUUAGUUUAAGGUUUAGGAUUUGGCCUAAAGUUUGAAUGAAGUCCAAUAGGAUUUUAACUAGGAUUAAAGUAAGAUUGGAUUGAGAUUUAUUUGAGAUAUAUUUGUAAUGAUUCUAAUAUUUUUUUAAGAUUUCUUAUUGUUUCUUUGUAAUUCCUUUAAGGCUUCUUUGAAUUUGAUUAAAGCUUGCUUAGCAUUGUUACUAUUUUAUU
RNAcentral lists this long non-coding RNA (495 nucleotides) under Physcomitrium patens. RNAcentral's name for it is "long non-coding RNA (PPAT_LNC006471)". The record is from RNAcentral. Lineage: Eukaryota; Viridiplantae; Streptophyta; Bryopsida; Funariales; Funariaceae.